Molecule: ribosomal RNA, 252 nt
Filed under: uncultured archaeon
Lineage: Archaea
Description: partial 16S ribosomal RNA
Rfam family: Archaeal small subunit ribosomal RNA
Source: RNAcentral
CAGCCGUAAACUAUGCUCGCUAGGUGUCAGGCAUGGCGCGACCGUGUCUGGUGCCGCAGGGAAGCCGUGAAGCGAGCCACCUGGGAAGUACGGCCGCAAGGCUGAAACUUAAAGGAAUUGGCGGGGGAGCACAACAACGGGUGGAGCCUGCGGUUUAAUUUGGACUCAGCGCCGGACAACUCACCGGGGACGACAGCAAUAUGUAGGCCAGGCUGAAGACCUUGCCUGAAUCGCUGAGAGGAGGUGCAUGGC